Molecule: ribosomal RNA, 465 nt
Filed under: Vreelandella stevensii
Lineage: Bacteria; Pseudomonadati; Pseudomonadota; Gammaproteobacteria; Oceanospirillales; Halomonadaceae
Description: partial 16S ribosomal RNA
Rfam family: Bacterial small subunit ribosomal RNA
Source: RNAcentral
CCUACGGGAGGCUGCAGUGGGGAAUAUUGGACAAUGGGCGAAAGCCUGAUCCAGCCAUGCCGCGUGUGUGAAGAAGGCCUUCGGGUUGUAAAGCACUUUCAGUGGGGAAGAAAGCCUUGGGGCUAAUACCCUCGAGGAAGGACAUCACCCACAGAAGAAGCACCGGCUAACUCCGUGCCAGCAGCCGCGGUAAUACGGAGGGUGCGAGCGUUAAUCGGAAUUACUGGGCGUAAAGCGCGCGUAGGCGGUCUGAUAAGCCGGUUGUGAAAGCCCCGGGCUCAACCUGGGAACGGCAUCCGGAACUGUCAGGCUAGAGUGCAGGAGAGGAAGGUAGAAUUCCCGGUGUAGCGGGGAAAUGCGUAGAGAUCGGGAGGAAUACCAGUGGCGAAGGCGGCCUUCUGGACUGACACUGACGCUGAGGUGCGAAAGCGUGGGUAGCAAACAGGAUUAGAUACCCGUGUAGUC